RNAcentral lists this long non-coding RNA (318 nucleotides) under Carica papaya (papaya). RNAcentral describes it as "long non-coding RNA (CPAP_LNC002410)". The record is from RNAcentral. Lineage: Eukaryota; Viridiplantae; Streptophyta; Magnoliopsida; Brassicales; Caricaceae.
CCUCUACUGUAUCAUCUAACACCGCUAUAGUGCCACCCAAUCCCUCUACAGCACAAUCUAGUCCCUCUUCCAUGGGACCCAGUUCCACCCAUGAUAGACCCAAGCUACAUUGAAAGGUACAAAAGACUAAACUCAUCUACCUUCACAGGGGCAUCCUCUUUUGAAGAGGCCGAGUAUUAGUUAGCUGAGACAGAGAAGGCCUUUCCGACUACUGGGGUGGUUCCCGAAUAAAAAGUUGUACUUGCCACCUACAUGCUUGUGGAAGAGACAGGUCACUGUGCAGCUCAAGCAGGCCACCCUGCUCGUUCCAGUCACUUG